Cyprinus carpio carpio is the source of this 398-nucleotide long non-coding RNA. The record is from Ensembl. NCBI's taxonomy places the organism in Eukaryota, Metazoa, Chordata, Actinopteri, Cypriniformes, Cyprinidae.
CCAUAAACCUAAUGCCUGUUUCUCACUUAUGGGCUCUCUUCCAAAACCUGGUGCGCUGCCCACAUACUCCUGAUCCUGCUAAAGCAUAAAUACGGCCGUCUACAGGGAGCCACGCCUGAACUCCUGAUGUUUCUCCAUCUGUUUAAAGAUCUACGGGAGCUUCAGCCUUCGGUGCGCUCGCAUGUGUCUCUGCUUCUCGCUGCGAGUUUACCUGCGAGGGAAGAAACACAUCAGCGACGGUGUCAUUAACUGCUCAAGAGCACAAGACUGAUAUGGAAAGGUAGCUUAUGGUGUUUGUUCCUCUAUUAAAAACUCCUCCAGAUGGGGAAGGAACCCGAGACUGUCAUUUACCUCCUCUUCGCGCCUUCAUUAGUGUCUUGCGCAGGAUUUUGGAAGGC